ACGGCCAUACCAUGCUGAAUAUACCGGUUCUCAUUCGAUCACUGAAGUCCAGAAUCACCGGGCGCAGUCAGUACUUCGGAGGGUGUCCACAUGAGAACACCGCGUGCCGUUG
Molecule: non-coding RNA, 112 nt
Organism: Caerostris darwini
Lineage: Eukaryota; Metazoa; Arthropoda; Arachnida; Araneae; Araneidae
Source: the annotation of a GenBank genome assembly